AUGGUUGGGAUCCCGAAAGAAACUUUCUGCUUCCUACCGGCGCUGUGGGGAGGCCUCCAGAGGAACUUUCUGCUCCCUGUUGUGGUCAGGGGGUUCCUCAGGGGCUUUGGGGCGGCCGGGAGCAGAAGGGUGACAAUGGGGUCUUUGAGAGACCCUACAGCUGUGCAGUUGCUGAUGGACGAUGCCGGAGCCCCGACAAGCGUGGUUUUGUCUGGGGCUGCCUUCAGGGCUGUGCGUGACCCCCAAAACAGGGUCACCCUCCCAUCCCCCAGCACUGCCCUUGCCAUGCUCCAAGCAAGGCUCACUUCCAUCACCACAGCUCAACCUCCAGCCCCUUUGCUCCCAAACUUCUCCCCCCACAGUGCACCCCACGUGCUGCACCCCACGCAGCAGCGUGACUGCAGGGUCCCCCCAUGCAGUGUCAGGCUCUCCCUUUUUGUCCCCACACUUCACUGUAUGAUGGCCUCGAAGUGGGGAGCAGAGCCCACCCCGCCUGCCAGGCCCUGUAGCCNNNNNNNNNNNNNNNNNNNNNNNNNNNNNNNAGGAAUGCUUACGUGGUAUGUGGAGCAGCAGGACGCCAGCAGGUUUGCAAGCUUUGAAGCUGAGCCUGCAAUGAGCUGUGUGUGCAUUGCAUGGCUUUGGGACUUAGGGCUUUCCAGUGCGCCGUACCCCAUAGCGUGUCCCAUGGCACCAAACCGUGUCCCUCUCUCAAUCCCAAAGAGCACAGCCAGGGGAUCCCACUGGGAUCCUCCCUGCAGGGCCACACAUGGGGUGUCUGCAAGGCAAGUAGCAGCACUGGGGUGUUGCACUGUGGGAUUCAGCCCGCGCUUGGAGGUCUGGGGGCUGCGGGUGAUUUGCUGUGGGUCUGUGCACUACGGCUCUGAGAUUCGGGGGCGGGCAGACAGCUGCACUGAGACCCCCGUAGGAGGGCUGGAACCUGCCUGCUGUCUGCACCGUGCACCUUUGGGCUGGGCUGGGCCCUGGGUAGAAGGGCUGCGGGCUGGGAGGGGCGGCGGGCAGGCAGGCAGGCAGGCAGGCAGGCAGGCAAGGCACGACUUGCUGUCAGGCAUGCAAAGCAAUUGGCGGGGGAAACGCAGGGCUUUCCUGCUGGCAUGGCUUGUUUGCUGCUUGCUGUGCCGGCACCCAGAGCUGGGAGGGGGCAGUGGGGUGUGA
Molecule: long non-coding RNA, 1173 nt
Filed under: Chrysolophus pictus (golden pheasant)
Lineage: Eukaryota; Metazoa; Chordata; Aves; Galliformes; Phasianidae
Description: lncRNA (ENSCPIG00010007601.1)
Source: RNAcentral